This 406-nucleotide ribosomal RNA is filed under the name uncultured bacterium. RNAcentral's name for it is "partial 16S ribosomal RNA". It matches the Rfam family "Bacterial small subunit ribosomal RNA", at positions 30 to 526 of the family's 1533-position model. The record is from RNAcentral.
AUUGAACGCUGGCGGCAGGCUUAACACAUGCAAGUCGAGCGAGCGGCGGACGGGUGAGUAAUGUCUGGGAAACUGCCUGAUGGAGGGGGAUAACUUCGGGAAACCGGAGCUAAAACCGGAUACCAUCAGAUGUGCCCAGAUGGGAUUAGCUAGUAGGUGGGGUAAUGGCUCACCUAGGCGACGAUCCCUAGCUGGCCUGAGAGGAUGACCAGCCAUACUGGGACGGAGACACGGUCCAGACUCCUACGGGAGGCAGCAGUGGGGAAUAUUGCACAAUGGGCGCAAGCCUGAUGCAGCAAUGCCGCGUGUGUGAAGAAGGCCUUCGGGUUGUAAAGCUCUUUCAGCGAGGAAGCGUUACUCGAAGAAGAAGCACCGGCUAACUCCGUGCCAGCAGCCGCGGUAAUAC